This 72-nucleotide transfer RNA is filed under the name Phrynosoma platyrhinos (Desert horned lizard). RNAcentral describes it as "tRNA-OTHER". The record is from RNAcentral. Lineage: Eukaryota; Metazoa; Chordata; Lepidosauria; Squamata; Phrynosomatidae.
GCCAGUGUGGCGUAGUGGUUUGAGUAUUGGACUAUGACUCUGGAGACCUGGGUUUAAAUCUGGGCUCAGCCA